UAAUAAGUGUUUUAUGGCACUUCUUAAAUCCAUAUCCACCUUGUGUGCAAUGUCAGUCGAUUUUCUUAUGAGAUCGGCCAAACAUCAACCUUAUCUUUUUAACUGUCUGUCUGAAAACUAUUAUGAAUAAACAAUUCAAAAUA
Molecule: unclassified non-coding RNA, 143 nt
Filed under: soil metagenome
Description: partial internal transcribed spacer 1
Source: RNAcentral